This 1155-nucleotide small RNA is filed under the name Xylariales sp. TK33. RNAcentral describes it as "eukaryotic LSU rRNA". The stretch from base 384 to 1155 matches the Rfam family "Eukaryotic large subunit ribosomal RNA", at positions 1 to 804 of the family's 3401-position model. Lineage: Eukaryota; Fungi; Ascomycota; Sordariomycetes; Xylariales. The record is from RNAcentral.
CCCAUGUGAACUUACCUUCUGUUGCCUCGGCAGGUCGCGCCUACCCUGUAAGACCCUACCCUGUAGAGUCUUACCCGGUAGACGCGGAUACCCCUGCCGACGGCCUACAAAACUCUGUUUACUGAUGUAAUUUCUGAAUCAAUAACUAAAUAAGUUAAAACUUUCAACAACGGAUCUCUUGGUUCUGGCAUCGAUGAAGAACGCAGCGAAAUGCGAUAAGUAAUGUGAAUUGCAGAAUUCAGUGAAUCAUCGAAUCUUUGAACGCACAUUGCGCCCAUUAGUAUUCUAGUGGGCAUGCCUGUUCGAGCGUCAUUUCAACCCUUAAGCCUCUGUUGCUUAGUGUUGGGAGCCUACAGCCCUCUGUAGCUCCCUAAAGUUAGUGGCGGAGUCGGUUCACGCUCUAGACGUAGUAAAUUUUUUAUCUCGCCUAUAGAUGGACCGGCGUCCUGCCGUAAAACCCCCUAACGGCGAGUGAAGCGGCAACAGCUCAAAUUUGAAAUCUGGCCUUCGGGUCCGAGUUGUAAUUUGUAGAGGAUGCUUUUGGCGCGGUGCCUUCCGAGUUCCCUGGAACGGGACGCCUUAGAGGGUGAGAGCCCCGUACGGUUGGACACCAAGCCUCUGUAAAGCUCCUUCGACGAGUCGAGUAGUUUGGGAAUGCUGCUCUAAAUGGGAGGUAAAUUUCUUCUAAAGCUAAAUAUUGGCCAGAGACCGAUAGCGCACAAGUAGAGUGAUCGAAAGAUGAAAAGCACUUUGAAAAGAGGGUUAAAUAGCACGUGAAAUUGUUGAAAGGGAAGCGUUUGCGACCAGACCUUUUCCUAGCGGAUCAUCCGGUGUUCUCACCGGUGCACUUUGCUAGGUUGAGGCCAGCAUCGGUUUUCGUAGGGGGAUAAAAGCUUGGGGAAUGUAGCUCCCUCGGGAGUGUUAUAGCCCCUCGCAUAAUACCUUUACGGGGACCGAGGACCGCGCUUCGGCAAGGAUGCUGGCAUAAUGGUCGUCAACGACCCGUCUUGAAACACGGACCAAGGAGUCGAACAUUUGUGCGAGUGUUAGGGUGUUAAACCCUCACGCGUAAUGAAAGUGAACGGAGGUGAGAGCCCUUACGGGUGCAUCAUCGACCGAUCCUGAUGUCUUCGGAUGGAUUUGAGUAAGAGCAUA